UUUUGAAAAAACAAUAUAUAAACUUGACCUUUCUGCUAUUCUUCGACAAAGAGCAACUCUUUCUCAAACCUGAACUCUCUAAUUCUUACUUAAAUACAUCAAAGUUAACAGUUAAUCUUCAAGCAAAUGGACGAUUCUUCAAGGGAUGAGGCGAGUGACACCAUUAGGAUCCUGGUUGCUACAGAUUGUCAUUUGGGCUAUAUGGAGAAGGAUGAAGUACGUAGGCAUGAUUCAUUUCAGGCAUUUGAAGAGAUAUGUUCAAUCGCGGAGAAAAAGCAGGUGGACUUUGUGCUUCUCGGUGGUGAUCUAUUUCACGAGAAUAAGCCAUCCAGGUCAACACUGGUGAAAGCCAUUGAGAUUCUUCGCCGUUAUUGUCUCAAUGAUCGACCAGUGCAAUUCCAAGUUGUUAGUGACCAGACAGUGAACUUUGCUAACCUAUUUGGUCAUGUAAAUUAUGAAGAUCCUCACUUUAAUGUGGGGUUGCCUGUUUUCAGCAUUCAUGGCAAUCAUGACGAUCCAGCUGGUGUGGACAACCUAUCUGCCGUUGAUAUCCUUUCCGCAUGCAAUCUUGUUAACUAUUUUGGUAAAAUGGAUCUUGGUGGUUCUGGUGUUGGGGAGAUUGCUCUCUACCCUAUUCUUAUGAGGAAGGGUUUAACAACAAUAGCUCUUUAUGGUCUUGGGAAUAUCAGAGAUGAACGGUUGAAUAGAAUGUUUCAAACACCACAUGCCGUUCAAUGGAUGCGACCUGAGGCUCAGGAAGGGUGUCAAGUGUCAGACUGGUUCAACAUUUUGGUACUUCACCAAAACAGAGUAAAGGCAAAUCCAAAAAAUGCAAUAAAUGAGCAUUUCCUGCCUCGGUUUCUGGAUUUUAUUGUAUGGGGUCACGAACAUGAAUGUUUGGUGGAUCCUCAGGAGGUUCCAGGUAUGGGUUUUCACAUUACUCAGCCAGGUUCUUCUGUUGCGACAUCACUUAUUGAGGGUGAAUCAAAGCAAAAACAUGUACUCCUAUUAGAAAUUAAGGGAAAUCAAUAUCGUCCAACAAAGAUACCUCUGAACUCAGUGCGUCCUUUUGAAUAUACUGAGGUUGUGCUGAAGGAUGAACCUGAUAUUGAUCCUAACGAUCAGAGUUCGAUUCUUGAACAUUUGGAUAAAGUAGUCAGAAAGCUGAUAGAAAGAUCUAGUCAAAAGGCUAAUAAUGGAUCUGCUGUAAAGCUACCCUUAGUUCGAGUAAAGGUAGACUACUCUGGGUUUAUGACUAUAAAUCCUCAAAGGUUUGGACAAAAAUAUGUGGGAAAGGUUGCCAAUCCACAGGAUAUUCUCAUAUUCUCAAAAUCUUCAAAAAGGGUUGGCAAGGAAGCUAAAUUUGACGAUUCUGAGCGGCUUCGCCCUGAAGAAUUGAAUCAGCAAAACAUUGAAGCUUUAGUUGCUGAGAGCAAUUUGAAAAUGGAGGUACUUCCAGUCAGCGAUCUGGAUGUUGCGCUGCACAAUUUUGUAAACAAGGAUGACAAAAUGGCUUUUCAUUCUUGUAUAAAAUACAACCUUGAGGAAACUCGAAACAAAAUAGCUCGUGAUUCAGAUGACGUGAAGUUUGAAGAAGAUGAUAUAAUUUUAAAAGUUGGAGAGUGCUUAGAGGAACGUGUCAAACAAAGAGCUGCACGAAAUAAAGAUGAUCAACCUUUCUCCUUUAGUGGACAGUCUUUGGAGGAUAUUAGAGGCAAAAGUACUGGAGUAGGAUCAGCAGUUUCAUUUAGUGAUGAUGAGGAUGCCACUAUGCCCUCCGCCUCAAAGUCUACUGCCGGAAAAGGAAGGAAAGAGUCAUCUCAAUCUUUUAGAUCCUCUCGUGAUACUUCUGAAGUUGGCAAGACCUCUUCAAGGGGAAGGGGUAGAGGUAGAGGCAGAGGAAGGGCUUCCAAUAGCUUGAAGCAGACAACCCUUGAUGCAUCUCUGGGAUUCCGUCAGUCACAGAGGUCUGCAUCAAUUGCUGCAUCUGCGUCAGUGCGAAGUAUUGCCGAAGAUGAUGAGAAUGUGGAAUCUCCUUCAAGUGAUGAAGAUGCCAAGCAGGACACUAAUGCUAUUGACGAAAGCUCAGAUGAUGAUAAGACAGUCCAGGGGAAAGGACGCAAAAGGGCUGCUCCAAGGGGAAGGGGCAGAGCUUCAGCAACAGCGGCUAAAAGGGGAAAAAGAUCAGAUAGCUCCUCAUCUUCACUUCAAAGGAUGCUCAUGGAUGCAGAUGAAGAUGAUGAUGAUGAUGAUGACAUGGCAAAGAAAGAAACUAGACCUCGACCUCGACCUCGGGUAACUAGGAAUUACGGUUCUUUAAGGAGAUGACCGUAGCUGGAACUUCUGAUACCAUUUGUUCCAUUCAGGGAUGUUGAUUAUGAUGACUGAAUUUGCGUAGCGAGUUGUAAAUAUACACUAUGAACUAAGCGACAUGGUUAUGUUUCUUCCAAUGCGGUAUAUUCUUCAGUCAGAUUGCGGAAUUACCUUUUCCUUUAUCCAGUGUAGUGCUGCAGAAUGAGCCCAUAUUUUGUCAACCUGCCCAAUCCGCUCAUAUUUUUAUGGGUCGUAUGGGUGAUAUUAUAAAUGGGUAAAAUUUGAGCCUCAACCCAUAUUCAAACCGUAGGAAUAUAGGUAUUCACAGGUAAAAUGUGGGUAACAUACUGGUUAGUCUAAAUUGUUGGUAAGUUUACUUAAACUGGUUUUGCAAGUCUCACAGCCACCAGAGGCAUUUUGGUUGAUUUAUUUAAAUUAACAGUUGCAA
Lycium barbarum (goji berry) is the source of this 2761-nucleotide RNA transcript. It is a transcript of the gene named double-strand break repair protein MRE11, with no coding region annotated. The transcript has 24 exons. The record is from RefSeq and is a predicted model, not a curated record. NCBI's taxonomy places the organism in Eukaryota, Viridiplantae, Streptophyta, Magnoliopsida, Solanales, Solanaceae.